UACGGGGGGGGCAAGCGUUGUUCGGAAUUACUGGGCGUAAAGGGCUCGUAGGCGGCCAACUAAGUCAGACGUGAAAUCCCUCAGCUUAACUGGGGAACUGCGUCCGAUACUGGUUGGCUUGAGUUUGGGAGAGGGAUGCGGAAUUCCAGGUGUAGCGGUGAAAUGCGUAGAUAUCUGGAGGAACACCGGUGGCGAAGGCGGCAUCCUGGACCAAUACUGACGCUGAGGAGCGAAAGCCAGGGGAGCAAACGGG
Molecule: ribosomal RNA, 253 nt
Filed under: uncultured bacterium
Lineage: Bacteria
Description: partial 16S ribosomal RNA
Rfam family: Bacterial small subunit ribosomal RNA
Source: RNAcentral